UGACCUUAAUUGAUUAAAGGACAACACCCAAAGCCUGCAGAACAGGGGAGCAAUGCCAGACAGAAGCUGGCACAGAGGCUGGGACCAAAGCCGGAGCUACAGGGGAGCCAAAAGUGCCAUGGAGCCAAGGAGGCUAGGCUGCCACCACCUGAAAGAAGGGGAAAGAAAGAGUCAGUGCCGGCCCUGUUCCAGAUGCACAGUGCAGUGACAGAACAAUCCCAGGGCCAGCUCAGCUGCAGUCUCAUUAAGCCAGGCUCGGGACAAAUGCAGGCCCUCAGGAAGAAAGAACGGAAGAAAAUUGCCUAUUGAGAGCCAAGGGAACAACGUACACUGUAACAACAGGGUGGAGCUUGGAUGGUGUGUAAAGGAGGUAGGAGCCCCAAGGAAGACCCGGACCUGGCACAUCGAGGACUGUGAAAAUAGACCAUCUCCCAACAAAGACAUAUUUAAUACCAAGAUGAGGUAGGAAAGCAUUGGGUGACCUCCACUGAGUGCUAGAACUAGGUGAGCCCACAUCCUCAUGGCCCAUUCUCACAGGCCGCAGGGCUGCUGGGCCCUGUGACCCUAUCCUACACUGUGCCGACACUGAUUUUCAAAAACGCUGAGAACUUUGUGGUUUCUAUUAAAUUAAGUGGGACUUCUGGACUCAAGCCAUUUUGAAAAUUCCACCUUUACAUGCCUAAAUAUGGAUUUAAGUGCCUACAUUUUUAGGCUUCUAUUGUGGUAAAUCUUGCCUAUAUUUCCUGUCAGCCUAUGUUGUAACUACAAAAUCAUCACACUCUCUGUUUAGAAACAGAAUACAUCUCCACUGGAGUCAACUGGUGCCUCUCCUUUAACCUGAGUAGGAGUUGAGAAAAGUCCAAAGUAAGGAAUGUAAAUUUCAUAGAACAGUAUUUCUUUUGGCUAGCAAGAAUUUAUCUCCAAGCCUUGACUCUGCAAGCUGAAAGCACAAUGCAAACAGAAGAAUGAAGGAGGAAAGCAUUUUUACUAUUAAAUCUAACCAAAAAAAGCAAACCCCCAGAACACUCCUUGGGCUGCAGUCCAUCUCUUAUACAAGUAGAGCUAGAACUCUUUCUGCUGCUCAGUUUUUAACAGGAGAAUAAUAAAUCCUUCAUAACAAACAGCAGAUAAGACACUUCUGGUGCUCUGAAGAAAAAUUCAAAUAUUAAUCAGCAUGAUUGUCACAUUAUUUCCUUGUUCUUCCCCAUCUGUAUGUCUGUGUAUGCCUGUUGUCUCUUGUCUUGCACUUUGCAAGACUAAGCUCUUUGUGGGAGGGACCAUCUUUUUGUUCUGUUUUUAAAUAGUCCCUAGGUACCUAACCUUAUGUAUCCUAGAUGGCACUGCAAUCCAGACAAUGAAUUAUCAUCAUUCCUGCUAAUACCUAGAAGGCACUUGAGAUUUACAAACAACUUACUGACUAUAUGUAAGAUUUUUGAGUAAUAAACAAUAUGAUUCCACAACUAACAGCACUUGAAACUUGCUGCUUAUAUUUAUAAGUCACAUUCUGUAUGAUUCAGACAACUGCAAGGUGCUAACUCCCUGCGUGAUGGAAAACAAAUAGGGCCUCUACAUCAUAUAGCAGGUGGAAAAAUGCCAAAGAGAAAGAGAGAACGAACAAGUGGAGAUGAGAGAUAAACAAGUGAAAGCCAGAGAAGAUUGGAACUUAUUAUAUUCAUGCAGCAACUCCACACUCUCCCCUUGUGCUUGUCAAAAUCCUUCUGCCACAUUGCAGGAGAUGCUCUCCCCUCUCUCCUUGUGAAACCAAAGAUCUCCCAUACACUUCAGCCCUGGCCACCCGUAAGAUCCUCCAGGAGAUCACUGAAUUUUCUCAGUCUCAACGGGUCCAUUAGCCACUGUGAUGAAAGUGAGGAAACUCGUACUUUAGAGCUCUGAAGUUUCAUUUCUCCUGUCCCCUCAGGCUGAUUUUAGAGCCCAUCUGCCUCAGAUUUCCACAGCCACAUAGAGGUCCAUCAUGUAUAUAAUGAAAUAGCUAAUACACUAGAAAGGGUUGUCAGAACACAAAGUGAUUGUCAAUUCAUACAGCAUUCUCCCACAAGCAUCGUUUUCUUUACAAAAUGGAGUGAAAUGUCAGAGGCCAAACAUUCUGUAUUUUUACUCUGUGCAAUUCAACAUCUUGGCAAACAAUUUUUCCGCUCUAGGGCCUGUGAGAGGAAGGAUGGUCUUGUGGUUAGAGCUUGGGCCUAGAUUAUAGAUUAGUUUAUAUAUUAUAAAGCCAGAAGGGCUCAUUAUGAUCAUCUAAUCCUGUCAUAACACAGGCUGUAGGACUUCUCUGAAUUAAUUCUUGUUUCAACCAGAGCUGAUCUUUUAGAAGAACAUCCACUUCUGAUUUAAAAAUAUGCAGUGACAGAGAAUCAACCAAAACUUUGCUAAAUUGUUACGAUAGUUAAUCAUCCUUACUAUUAAACGUUCCCAACUUAUUUUGUAUCUCCAUUUGCCUAGUUUCAGCUUCUAGCCACUGGAUUCUAUUAUACCUUUGUCUGUGUCACUGAGCCUCUGUCACCAUGGAGGGAAGAACUGACAGGGCUCAGUAUCCAGGUACUUUAGAGUCUCUGGCUGGGGUUAUUGGGGUUUGGCCCCCCUUUCCUGGGAGAGACUGCUUCUGCCCUCACUUGGUCUCACCUGCCAUGCCUUUGAUGUAACCCUAAAGGCGGUGAUAUUCUGGUGCCAGGAACAGUCCACCUUAGGAUGGAAAAGUCUUCCCCGCAACACUGACAGUUUGUCUAGCACUGGGUCUCUUGUCCAUCCAUCCAGCCUUAAGGACCAAGUUUGGGAGCUCCUCCACCUCAUACCUCCAGUCUUAGUCAGGUCUGUGCCCAGCAUCAUGGUUGAAGGCACUGGAUUUGGCUCCCGGAAUAGCCAGGAGUCCGCAGAUCAGCCCCAUUCUGCUGGGGUUGAUCCAAGAUGCUGUCCUGGCUCUCCUGGCCCUGCACUGGGGCUGACUAUGAGGUAAGUCUCAUGCAUUUAGCUGUUUGGGGAAGGGUUAUGAGCAGGGUUUUUCUUUCUCUCACCUCCCUUCUGCCACAGUCUGCUAGAAUAAACAGCCCAUUACUACCACAUUUGUUUCCCUCUGUCAGUACUUGUAGAGUGAACAAGUCACACCUUACCUUUCUCUUUCUGUCAAUUAAAAAAAAAUCAAGCUCCAAGACUCUUUUAUUACAGCUACAGACACAACAUUUGUCUUGGAAUAUCCUAUUUUAUUCUGGGACAAAGUGCAAUUGUUCAGAUAUCCAUGUCUAUUGUCCCAAGACAAACUCUACAAAGGUUCUUGGGAUAAGAAGUGCUAACAGCUUGCCCUGGGACAUCACAACAUGCAUUUAAACAGUUGUCCCAGGAUUUCAUCACUGAAUCAUUGGCAGAAAAGUAGAAGUCCAAUCAGCUACUCACUAAACACCAAUUGGAAAGGUAAUGUAUGUACACACCAGUCCUGGGACUUUUCUCUUCAAGAACAAACACAGGCACAAUUCAUCCCCAGAUAUGUGCAAUGUCUGUUUCUAGCCUACUAGUCA
Alligator mississippiensis (American alligator) is the source of this 3527-nucleotide long non-coding RNA. RefSeq lists it as uncharacterized. The transcript has 3 exons. NCBI's taxonomy places the organism in Eukaryota, Metazoa, Chordata, Crocodylia, Alligatoridae. The record is from RefSeq and is a predicted model, not a curated record.